CUUGCUCUUCUAGGAUGAGUUGCGAACGGGUGAGUAACGCGUACGUAACCUGCCUUGUAGCGGGGGAUAACUAUUGGAAACGAUAGCUAAUACCGCAUAACAAUGGAUGACACAUGUCAUUUAUUUGAAAGGGGCAAUUGCUCCACUACAAGAUGGACCUGCGUUGUAUUAGCUAGUAGGUGAGGUAACGGCUCACCUAGGCGACGAUACAUAACCGACCUGAGAGGGUGAUCGGCCACACUGGGACUGAGACACGGCCCAGACUCCUACGGGAGGCAGCAGUAGGGAAUCUUCGGCAAUGGGGGCAACCCUGACCGAGCAACGCCGCGUGAGUGAAGAAGGUUUUCGGAUCGUAAAGCUCUGUUGUAAGUCAAGAACGAGUGUGAGAGUGGAAAGUUCACACUGUGACGGUAGCUUACCAGAAAGGGACGGCUAACUACGUGCCAGCAGCCGCGGUAAUACGUAGGUCCCGAGCGUUGUCCGGAUUUAUUGGGCGUAAAGCGAGCGCAGGCGGUUUGAUAAGUCUGAAGUUAAAGGCUGUGGCUCAACCAUAGUUCGCUUUGGAAACUGUCAAACUUGAGUGCAGAAGGGGAGAGUGGAAUUCCAUGUGUAGCGGUGAAAUGCGUAGAUAUAUGGAGGAACACCGGUGGCGAAAGCGGCUCUCUGGUCUGUAACUGACGCUGAGGCUCGAAAGCGUGGGGAGCGAACAGGAUUAGAUACCCUGGUAGUCCACGCCGUAAACGAUGAGUGCU
Molecule: ribosomal RNA, 752 nt
Filed under: Streptococcus sp. HGB0032
Lineage: Bacteria; Bacillati; Bacillota; Bacilli; Lactobacillales; Streptococcaceae
Description: bacterial SSU rRNA
Rfam family: Bacterial small subunit ribosomal RNA
Source: RNAcentral